This 460-nucleotide ribosomal RNA is filed under the name uncultured bacterium. RNAcentral describes it as "partial 16S ribosomal RNA". It matches the Rfam family "Bacterial small subunit ribosomal RNA", at positions 338 to 795 of the family's 1533-position model. The record is from RNAcentral.
CCUACGGGCGGCAGCAGUGAGGAAUAUUGGUCAAUGGACGAGAGUCUGAACCAGCCAAGUAGCGUGAAGGAUGACUGCCCUAUGGGUUGUAAACUUCUUUUAUAAAGGAAUAAAACGAGGCACGUGUGCCUUUUUGCAUGUACUUUAUGAAUAAGGAUCGGCUAACUCCGUGCCAGCAGCCGCGGGAAUACGGAGGAUCCGAGCGUUAUCCGGAUUUAUUGGGGUUAAAGGGAGCGUAGAUGGGUUGUUAAGUCAGUUGUGAAAGUUUGCGGCUCAACCGUAAAAUUGCAAUUGAUACUGGCAGUCUUGAGUGCAGUUGAGGUAGGCGGAAUUCGUGGUGUAGCGGUGAAAUGCUUAGAUAUCACGAAGAACCCCGAUUGCGAAGGCAGCUUACUAAACUGUGACUGACAUUGAUGCUCGAAAGUGUGGGUAUCGAACAGGAUUAGAUACCCCAGUAGUC